AUUACCGGAAGACAGCAGUGGGGAAUUUUAGGACAAUGGGCGCAAGCCUGAUCCAGCAAUGCCGCGUGCAGGACGAAGGCCUUCGGGUUGUAAACUGCUUUUGUACGGAACGAAAAGGUCUGCCCUAAUACGGCGGGCCCAUGACGGUACCGUAAGAAUAAGCACCGGCUAACUACAUGCCAACAG
This 186-nucleotide ribosomal RNA is filed under the name uncultured Banisveld landfill bacterium BVB15. RNAcentral's name for it is "partial 16S ribosomal RNA". It matches the Rfam family "Bacterial small subunit ribosomal RNA", at positions 337 to 514 of the family's 1533-position model. The record is from RNAcentral.